This is a long non-coding RNA of Cavia porcellus (domestic guinea pig), 626 nucleotides long. RefSeq lists it as uncharacterized. NCBI's taxonomy places the organism in Eukaryota, Metazoa, Chordata, Mammalia, Rodentia, Caviidae. The transcript has 4 exons. The record is from RefSeq and is a predicted model, not a curated record.
GCCGCCGUCCGCCCCGCUAUAAAGGGCGCGGUGCGAGCUCGUGUGUCCUCUCGGCGGCCAUGGAGGGCGGGCGGUGUGAUGUGGUCUCGCUUUUGUGUCAGGCAGCAGGGAGGGGCCGUGCGCUCCAGAGGAGGGAGUUUGCCUGCGGGAGAAGGAACUCCUGUAAAGAGAUGCCAGAGUCUCACAUAAGUUGACAGGAGACAUGGUGACUGAACAUGCUCAGUGUGACCCUCAUCCGGGAGACUGCCUGUGAGCUGCGCCCUAGUUUAAGAUUCAAAAUGUGAGAAGGAAGGGGCCUGGCUCCAUGCGCUGUGUCAGGCAGACUGUGGACCUUGUGCAAGUAAGUGGCUAUUGCAGCGUGUCACUGGGUAUGGAGUACCCCAAGGACACUGCCCACCCAUCUGGGCCUUUGCCCAGUUCCUGCACUGACUAAAGACAGUCAUCUUGUUGUUGGCUACUGUGUUUUGCCUGAGACAGGAAAAUACCACAGGGAAGAGUGACUUUUUAAGUAGAGCCCAAGUGUGGUUCUUGGCACCAAGAACAUGGGCAAGUUGUGGUUGGAACCUGGGAAUUGAAACGAAUGGCUGAAGUUUUAAGCAAAAAACAUUAAAGUAAGCUAAAGAGUU